CCGCUGGUGUACCAGUUGUUCCGCCAGGAGCAUAGCUGGGUAGCUACGUAUGGAAGGGAUAAGUGCUGAAAGCAUCUAAGCAUGAAGCCCCCCUCAAGAUGAGAUUUCCCUUGGAGUUAAUCCAGUAAGACCCCUUAGAGAUGAUGAGGUUGAUAGGUCUCGGGUGGAAGCACGGUGACGUGUGGAGCUGAGAGAUACUAAUCGGUCGAGGACUUAUCCUAAA
This 223-nucleotide ribosomal RNA is filed under the name Anaerobacillus alkalilacustris. RNAcentral's name for it is "partial 23S ribosomal RNA". It matches the Rfam family "Bacterial large subunit ribosomal RNA", at positions 2706 to 2925 of the family's 2925-position model. The record is from RNAcentral. Lineage: Bacteria; Bacillati; Bacillota; Bacilli; Caryophanales; Bacillaceae.